GGGGGGAGUGCAGGAUCCUGGGUUGUGUCCCCUGGCACACUGGGAUCCGGGGCCUGCGCUGUGGAAUCACACUCCCAGGGCUGCAGCUCCCG
This 92-nucleotide microRNA precursor is filed under the name Canis lupus familiaris (dog). RNAcentral's name for it is "mir-8799 microRNA precursor family". It matches the Rfam family "mir-8799 microRNA precursor family". The record is from Rfam by way of RNAcentral. RNAcentral also lists the same sequence under 1 other name. Lineage: Eukaryota; Metazoa; Chordata; Mammalia; Carnivora; Canidae.